AAACAUUUCCAUUUCUAAAAGUAAAAAAUAAUUGAAAGAAAGAGAACACAAAAUUGUUUGCAAAAGCUGUCCUUUAUUGAUGAUGAAAAUAAUUGUGAAAUGCGACUAAAUGGAUGGCCCUACACAUGAGUCAUUACACCUUGGGCAAAGUGUAAGACUUUAUUAUGCAUAUAAUAAAAGGAAAACAAUAAAAAUUACUCUUUCAGUAGAGUAACCCGGACGACUUUUUUAGACGACCAAUUGUUG
Molecule: long non-coding RNA, 246 nt
Filed under: Lathyrus oleraceus (garden pea)
Lineage: Eukaryota; Viridiplantae; Streptophyta; Magnoliopsida; Fabales; Fabaceae
Description: Pisum sativum (pea) long non-coding RNA (PSAT_LNC012801)
Source: RNAcentral